GCUGUUUUGAGCUUGUUUUGGGGCGAAAAUAGUGCCGUCCAUGACAUAAUAAUUCGAACGAAUGCGAACAAAUUUCCUCCAAAGCACAAGCUAGCAUACACACAUUAACAAAUAGAUCUGGUUUAACCAAAUUGCAUACGGACUCCAAAGUGCGAAACCACCAUAUAUUUUCUGCACAAAUCACUGAAUUCAAAAUACCAAGUGUACAAAAUGCGAGCACAGGUGAUGAAGUUAGAGAGAAAGAAAAAACAGUAGAAACAAAUGAAGCAGACAGAAGUAAAAAACACUAAUGAAGCUAAAAAUUUGAUAUUCACUCUCAAUGGGAAACAAAGAUUGUACGACAGCCCAUGCGACAAAAGAAGGCAGAAAAGCAUCUGGUACAAACAUAUAGGAAGAACAACUUGGCAUUCCCAUUGUAUCCUACUCAUGUUCAGGUUGAGAUAACUAAUUAGGCCUUUGUAUCCACACCAUUAAACAAAAUGCCUUCCUUAUUUUUCAAUAGUAUUCUGCCCAGAAAAUUCUUUUAACAAAAUAGAUUUCAGAUCAUCUUUGACACAUAUGGAUCGAGCUUGAAGCCAACAAAUCAACAACCACCAGAAACGAGCAAAGUUAAUCUUCCGAUUCAUUUUCACCUUUGAAUGAGACCACUUCUGACAGUUUACGACAAAGAAAUGAGCAAAGUUAAUCUCCAAGUCAUUUGGAAACCAACCCCUAAGCGUUUACACACAGAAAAAGAAACCGACUAUGGCUGGACAAUGAUAGACGAGGCAGACGAGCACACAAAUCACAUGUUUCACUGGAUUCUGAGACUAGAGAGAGAAAACAAAACAAUAGAGCGAGAUGAACCUAGGAUAACUACACAAAUCUCAGACAUUAUUUCAAACUUCAACCCAUUUUAUAGCUUAUUCAGAGAUCGAUUUACAAUGGGAACUAAAUGAAGAAGAGAAAUGAACCUGGAAUUGAGAAACUAAAUUAGUACAACAUUGAAAUUGACCAAGAGGGAGCAAAUAGCAGCUAAAAUCAGUCCUCGAGCAGUAACAGCCUCAAAAUUCUCAAAUAACUUCCAUUUUUAAAGUAAAAUCCAAAAUCGAAAUGAAGAAGAUGGGUUCUUUAGAUUUGGAAAGAAAAAAGAAACUUUAAACAAUGGUCGCUAUGAAAAUAUAAACAGCAAAAAACUCAAUCAUUCUUCUUCUGCUUCUUUUAGUAUUAGAAUUUAAAGGAACAAAUAAAAUAGAGAAGAAAUCUCUCGAAUCUUUUCCAAAAUCCUCUCUGAAGAAAUUUCCCGAAGUCCCUCUGAAAAUCCCCAGGAUCCCCUUCUCUUUGGGAUUUUAGGAUUCUGCCCGUUUGGUCUUUGUGUUUAUUAGUUAAUUGGAAUGAGUCGGGUUUGGGCAUGGAAUUGGGGCAUGGGUCUGGGCGUAGUUGGGCUGACCGAGCAGAUGAAUCUGGUGGGUUAAAGGGGUGGAAAAGAAUGGGCUGGCUCAAAUCAAACAAAACUAGCCCUUCCUUUGCUUUUCUCUUUUCUUUUUCUUUUCUAUACCUUAAAAAUCCUAAUUAAAUUAAUCCUAACAUUAAUCCUAAAUUAACCUAAAUUAUAAAAUUAGACU
RNAcentral lists this long non-coding RNA (1604 nucleotides) under Nicotiana benthamiana. RNAcentral's name for it is "long non-coding RNA (NBEN_LNC022233)". Lineage: Eukaryota; Viridiplantae; Streptophyta; Magnoliopsida; Solanales; Solanaceae. The record is from RNAcentral.